This 1589-nucleotide long non-coding RNA is filed under the name Oreochromis niloticus (Nile tilapia). Its description in RNAcentral is "lncRNA (ENSONIG00000027178.1)". The record is from RNAcentral. Lineage: Eukaryota; Metazoa; Chordata; Actinopteri; Cichliformes; Cichlidae.
AUCAGUAAGCUUCGAUAAAGCAUUCCCGUAACUUCACCAUGGCGUUUUCUCUGCACUUCGCUGGUAAUUUUCAUCCUUGCGUUGCAGAUUAAUUCAACAAUUCGCAUUAUAUCCCAUUCUGAGAAGAUCUCUGACUCCUCAACAACUUCUGUGAGAGGAACCUUUUGCAUAUUCGUCCCAUCUGUUUUCGUCUUCCUGUGGUAUCUCUCAUCUCGGCUGCCUGCCUGCCAACCAUUUCUGCCAUCAAGUGGGGAUGUUUCCUACAGGCUUUGCAAUGCAUAUGGAGAGCCCUCUUCUAACACACAAUAUAUAAGCCAAAAGCUGCCUCUAGCUCUGCUGAACAGCAAUAUAAUGCUCUUUACAAAAAUUAUCUGUAAAACAACAGCUUUGUGCCAUUACAGAUAUAGGUCAAAAUAAAAUGUCAAGCACAAGAGCUUUGUUUUUAUUCUUAACACCAUGCACUUUGUGGGAUUACUCAGUGUUUGAUGGCAAAAUAGGCGGGUUAAAUUGGAUUUACUGUAUUAUUUACUUUUUUCUACUCCCUGAUGUACUGAAAUACCCAAAAUGAAGCAGACAUUCUCUGUUAUUAAUUAUUACAAAAAUUAUAUCAAAUAUCGAAUUGCACGGUCUAUCAUUGCCGUCAUAUUUUAGUCUGUUGAGAAGUGUGUUCAAGUCAGCGAGUUCAGAUUUUAUAGCGUUCUGUAGUGCCAUCUAGAGGCCAUUGCAUUUAAUGUCAGCGGAAAUUUGAUCCAAUUCUCUGACGUGAUCAGUGCAUGAAACCAUGUCUUGUAUGAGUAUGCUAUUGGACUAGAGUACUAUAAGUUCUCAACACCACAGGAUCACAGCAUAGAUCCUACCAUUAGGAAUGUAACUUUCAAUCAAGGACUAGGAUUUCUAUGUUAUGAUACUUUCUGCUUCUACUCCACAAUAUUUUUUAUGCAAAUAUUGUAAUUAGUGCUCAUUAAAUUUAUUUUAACACUUUAGCUACUUAUUAUUUUUCAGAUAAAUUGCAUUAUUAUGGAUCAAGUUACCCAUCACGUAAGUAUUGUAUAUCAUUAGUAUAUGAACAGCUGCAAAAUGUAUAUGAUAUACACAUCAAUUAAAUAAUUUUCAUGAUAGCAUCCAAUUAAGUAGCAUAAUGUAUAUUAUUCUGAAAGCGUCAUUCUAUGAGUAUAUUUACUUUAGGUACUUUGAUUUUAUAAUUUGUACAUGCACUAUAUUAAACUAUAAUAUAUACAGAUUUUUACAUAAGUAAAAAGUUUAAACAGUUUUUCCCCCCACUUUCCAAAAUGACAACACAUCAUGUUUAAAGUCCUGUGCAGCACCAGUUUUAACAUAAAUUUGUAAUAGGACAAGUUGAAAUGCCCCUGUCUGCAGGCCAACUCAGGUUUGCGUCAGGGCUUCAUCAAAUGUUUGUGGAGUCCAGGUCACGUGAUGGAGAACUUCAUCACUUGUCUUAAUGAUCCAGUACAAUUACAGUAGCAACAAUGAAUAAGAGGCUCUCUUUAUUUUAAACCAUUAAUCUGGGCUCUCAUCUGAGGUGCCAUCCAUCAGCUGGUUAAUCUAAUGAACUACUUUCUCAGUAAAUA